RNAcentral lists this transfer RNA (68 nucleotides) under Pagurus longicarpus (long-clawed hermit crab). RNAcentral's name for it is "tRNA-Gln". Lineage: Eukaryota; Metazoa; Arthropoda; Malacostraca; Decapoda; Paguridae. The record is from RNAcentral.
UAUAUGUUAGUGUAAAUGCAUAAGAAGCUUUGACCUUCUAGGUUUUGGUGAGAAUCCUUUACAUAUAA